UACAGAGGUCUCAAGCGUUGUUCGGAUUCAUUGGGCGUAAAGGGUGCGUAGGCGGCGCGGUAAGUCGGGUGUGAAAUCUUGGAGCUUAACUCCGAAACUGCAUUCAAUACUGCCGUGCUUGAGGACUGGAGAGGAGACUGGAAUUUACGGUGUAGCGGUGAAAUGCGCAGAUAUCAGGAGGAACACCCGUGGCGAAAGCGGCUCUCUGGGACGGUACUGACGCUGAGACGCGAAAGCGUGGGGAGCAAACAGG
This 253-nucleotide ribosomal RNA is filed under the name uncultured bacterium. RNAcentral's name for it is "partial 16S ribosomal RNA". It matches the Rfam family "Bacterial small subunit ribosomal RNA", at positions 524 to 776 of the family's 1533-position model. The record is from RNAcentral.